Entelurus aequoreus (snake pipefish) is the source of this 371-nucleotide long non-coding RNA. RefSeq lists it as uncharacterized. The record is from RefSeq and is a predicted model, not a curated record. The transcript has 3 exons. NCBI's taxonomy places the organism in Eukaryota, Metazoa, Chordata, Actinopteri, Syngnathiformes, Syngnathidae.
GGGUCUUCUCCGGUGCACACACAUCUUCGAGAGAGCUGGUUUCCGAUCGCAUUAUCCAGGCUGGGAACUACACAUUUAACAAGGCCAGGCUGAUGAACGCUGGCUUCCAGGAGGUCAUGUAAGAAGAGGAAUGGGAGUGUAUCUUUUUCCACGAUGUGGACCUCAUUCCCAAGGAUGACCGCAACAACUACGUGUGCGGAUCCAGUCCCAAACACUCCUCCGGCGCCAUCACCACGUUUCACUACAUAAUUCCGUACAAAGCAUGCUUCGGAGGAGUGACUGCUUUCACGCCUCUAAAAUACCGCAAAAUGAACGGUUUUCCCAACAACUAUUGGGGCUGGGGUUGUGAGGACAAUGACAUCGGGCUCAGG